CCUACGGGAGGCAGCAGUGGGGAAUAUUGCACAAUGGGGGAAACCCUGAUGCAGCAACGCCGCGUGAGUGAUGACGGUCUUCGGGAUGUAAAGCUCUGUCUUCAGGGAAGAAAAUGACGGUACCCGAGGAGGAAGCCACGGCUAACUACGUGCCAGCAGCCGCGGUAAUACGUAGGUGGCGAGCGUUGUCCGGAUUUACUGGGCGUAAAGGGAGCGUAGGCGGACUUUUAAGUGAGAUGUGAAAAACUCGGGCUCAACUUGAGUACUGCAUUUCAAACUGGAAGACUAGAGUGCAGGAGAGGUGAGUGGAAUGCCUGGUGUAGCGGUGAAAUGCGUAGAUAUUAGGAAGAACACCAGUGGCGAAGGCGACUCACUGGACUGUAACUGACGCUGAGGCUCGAAAGCGUGGGGAGCAAACAGGAUUAGAUACCCCUGUAGUC
RNAcentral lists this ribosomal RNA (440 nucleotides) under uncultured bacterium. Its description in RNAcentral is "partial 16S ribosomal RNA". It matches the Rfam family "Bacterial small subunit ribosomal RNA", at positions 338 to 795 of the family's 1533-position model. The record is from RNAcentral.